CCCUGAAGUAAACCCAUGUUGUCGCUGAUCUUGAAAUCCAUGUGAUUUUAGAUGUUCAACAAUCCUAUCCUUUAACAUGGUUUCCAUCACUUUCCCCACUACUGAAGUAAGGCUUACUGGCCUAUAGUUGUCCGACUCCUCCCUAUUACCUUUCUUGUGAAUGGGCACAACAUUCGCUAACUUCCAAUCUUCUGGGACUACUCCUGUUAAUGAUUGGUUAAAUAAAU
Molecule: non-coding RNA, 227 nt
Organism: Pelobates cultripes (western spadefoot toad)
Lineage: Eukaryota; Metazoa; Chordata; Amphibia; Anura; Pelobatidae
Source: the annotation of a GenBank genome assembly